CGCGAAACGUUUGUUCGCCACCACAGCAACUUAACUAAAUGUAUUGUAUUUAUUGUAUUUUAUGAUAAAUAAUUAAUUGUUUUUAUCAUAAGUCAUAAAAAUACAAUAAAUACAAUAUAUUUAGUUAGGUUUCUGUGGUAGCGGACAAACGUUUCGUG
Molecule: non-coding RNA, 158 nt
Organism: Paramuricea clavata
Lineage: Eukaryota; Metazoa; Cnidaria; Anthozoa; Malacalcyonacea; Plexauridae
Source: the annotation of a GenBank genome assembly